Molecule: ribosomal RNA, 459 nt
Filed under: uncultured bacterium
Lineage: Bacteria
Description: partial 16S ribosomal RNA
Rfam family: Bacterial small subunit ribosomal RNA
Source: RNAcentral
CCUACGGGUGGCAGCAGUGAGGAAUAUUGGUCAAUGGCCGGAAGGCUGAACCAGCCAAGCCGCGUGAGGGAGGAAGGCGCAGAGCGUCGCAGACCUCUUUUGCCGGGGGACAAAAGGCCGGACUCGUCCGGUCCUGAGGGUACCCGGAGAAAAAGCAUCGGCAAAGUCGGUGCCAGCAGCCGCGGUAAUACGGGGGAUGCGAGCGUUAUCCGGAUUCAGUGGGUUUAAAGGGUGCGCAGCGGGGCCUUUAAGCCGGCGGGGAAAUCGCGGGGCUCAACCCCGCCGAGCAGUCGGAACUGGGGGCCUUGAGUGCGGGGGAGGCAUGCGGAAUGCGUGGUGUAGCGGUGAAAUGCAUAGAUAUCGCGCAGAACCCCGAUUGCGAAGGCAGCGUGCCGUGCCGCCACUGACGCUGAGGCACGAAAGCGCGGGGAGCGAACAGGAUUAGAUACCCCUGUAGUC